RNAcentral lists this ribosomal RNA (82 nucleotides) under uncultured bacterium. RNAcentral describes it as "partial 16S ribosomal RNA". The record is from RNAcentral.
UCAUGAAAGCCGUUUGUACCCGAAGUCGUCGUGCUAACCGCAAGGAGGCAGAUGCCGAAGGCAUGGAUGGUGAUUGGGAGUG